GCACAUAGGACACGCUGUGUACAACCCCAGGUUUAAAUAAGGGCAUAAGAGGAAUCUACCAGCAUUACAGGAGAGAUUUUAUAAAUAUUCCGCCUUCUCUCCUAAACUUUCCUGUCAAUAACCGUGAGGAGGGGCAGCAGAACCUACAGGGGCGAAGGCAGACACAAGGCAGGCGAGGAAACACCAGCAUUUCACAGAAUCGUGAGGCAAAAAUGCCGCUGUUUCGACGAAGUGUGAGGGAAAACCCUACAAACCAGCCGUGCUGGUGGCACAGGGACUGCAUCUCCUGCUCCAAAGCCUUUUGGUGCCGCCGUGUCCCAGGGCUCCUGGCUGAGGCGUUACCUGUGGUGCCGGAGCCCCCUGAGGGCAGCUCCCACAGGACCCAAACCCACACACAGGGCUUUUUAAGGCUGGUGAGGGAGCAGCGAGGCACCUUAACCGCAGAUUCGAGUUCCACACCCCACAGGCCGUUUUUUCUCGGAUUUUCCACCAAAAUCACCAAAAAGCAGCCCCCCCACACAGCAGCACCGCACGAGGAGCCUCGACUGCGGCUCCCCGAGACCACCAGCACCGCCGAGACCGCUGUGGCGGCCGCUGCAGGGCGGGUAGAGCCUCGCCCUGUCACACCAUAUCGCCCUGUCGCCAUGUCGCCGACAGGCAGCGCCCUGAGGCACUGCCCCCCCCCCCCCCCAAAGCCCCUCAGCCCCCGGGGCACGGCGCCACCUCGCAGUGCGCAUGCGCGGCGCCCCGUCCUCCUCCCCCCCCUCACCACAUGGCUCACUAUCUGGCAGCGCCCCCCACCGCGCACGCGCGCCUCGCCGCCUGCAGCUCGCAGCUCAAUGGCUCACUAUUUGGCAGCGAGCGGCCCGGCCCUCUCUGAGAUUCACUGCUAAAGCAGCUGCUGCAGGUCCUGCGUCUGUCCUGUUGGAGCCCGCUGACAGCUGGUUCAGCUCCUGCAAAGGGAACAGAAGGCUCCGUGAGCGGCAGUGGCAGCUUCUGGGCAGCUCUGGACUUCCCAAAUGUUCACUUCCCAGAACUAAAGCAGCAACGUGGCCAGUUGACCUGCUAUGCACCACUGAAACUGAAGUCACCUCUGCUGCAGAGAAGAAGGAGUCCUCGGAAAUGGAGCUGUCCUCAUCGUCUGUCCGAAGCCGUAACGACCCGUCCGCUAGCGGCAGCAUUAAGGUCUUCUCUGGAGGUGGGAAAGGAGCUGCAUGUGUUGGAGGUUACAGACCACCAGUCCUCACAGCCACUGUGCUUUCUCUUCCAGCCACCCACCCCCCAAAAAGCGCUGUCACCGCUUCAUCGCCUGGCUGAUGGAAAGAGACAAAAGCAUGGAAAGGAAGCUGCCGGCUCACCCAGAUCCAGCAGCAUGCUGUCCGAGGGAAGCGAAGACCCAAACUCUUCCUGGAGGUGGUAGGCUCGAUGCAAGAGGGACUCCAACUUCUCUGCAAACUCCCUUUUCUGGGACUCCUCCUUGAACAGACAUAAAUGGCACGCUUAAUUAGUCAGCUGGCAGGGACAGACUGACAGCACAAACACGGGAGGAAAUUUCAGUCAAAUAGGAUUUACAGUUUGCAGAUUAAAUGGUGAAAGAGAACUUAAUCCUACGAUACAGCUAAUAACGCAAGGGAAGGAAAGCUGCUAGACAGCCUAAUUCAAACCCUCCGGCAUUUUUAGCUUCACUAUUUCAUUUUCAUUAUUUAAAAAAAAAAAAAAAAAAAAAGUGGAAGAAAGAACUUUAACCUGCCAUCCAGAAAAACAGGUGUCUUUAUAGAUCACUUAAUUCUCCUGACUUGUGACUUUAGCCUAAUUUCAAGAGGGAACCGCAUCAGAAAAGCCGUGUUGAAAACAGCAGAGUAUCCAGAACUGGAUAACAGAGUAAGAGUCCUUGGGUUAAGGUGCUGGGCAUAAGCAAAGUUUGCUGUAAGCACGAGUAGAUAGACAAAAAGGAGGAGAAAAGUAAGACUUACACAGCAUCUUGCCUUCAUGCCCCUGUGUCUGCAUGAGUAUCUCACCCAGUAGAUAGAAGCAUUAACAAGAAGCACAAAAUCUAUUUGGAUAAUGAAUCAACUGUUUGAGUCAGUUGCAGAAACACCAUAGGACAGUUCAGGAGGAGACAGCAAGGAGAGAAUCCACAUUUGAUUCGGGUAAGUUAUCCACCACAAAAAGGCCAUACACAGACUACACCAGGACCGAGCUCCCACCAAGUUACCACUUGGCUUUAGUGAUUAACACAGGCAGCUGGUCCUGCUUCUGCUCAGCUCCCUCAGAAGUCCUAGGGACUACCACAAUCUCCACGUUUAACACGUUAAAGAGAUACAGGCACAACAGUGCCAGGCAAAAAGCUCCUUCUUCCCUCCUCUCAGGUGCUGUGUUUGUUGCAGCCUUUUCCUGCUGCAGCCUCUACUGCUCGAGAACUUGCACGACAGUGACUGACAUGAUCUGGAAGGUGGGCAGAAAGCUGAAGAAUGAGGGGGAGAGACUUAUUAGAAAGAGAAAAAAGAAGAAAAAUUAAGAAUUCGCCCACUCAGGCUACAUAAGGAAGCCAAGAAUAUAGACAGCUCUUAAACAUCGUCUAACCCAGCUCUGCCCUUGCUUUGCUCUUCUUCUACUGCCCUGCAGUGACUCCUCCUAGCAGCCUGGCUGGCCUUCCAGCAUGUUCCCCAGCUGCCAAACACAAGAGGGAAAGGCAGGGACCUACCUCUGCGAUGCUCUCAGACAAGGUGUCCUGGUGUUUCUUGCCGUCCCAGGGCACGGGGGUGCUCGUGCUAGCGCUGUCCCGCUGCCGGAUGGUCAGCGCCUGCUCCCACUUCUGCAGGGCCUCCUCGAACAGCUCCAUGCCUGGCAAUGCAACCAAACAAGCUCAGAUCCUCAGGCCACGUAGGUACAAAGCCAUGCAGCAAGAGCCUGCUCGCUCAGGUAACCCAGCGAAGAGGGAAUCUUCUCCCCAGGAGAAAGAAUCCUUGCCCUUUAAAAGACAGUUUUAUUUUCAAUAGAAGUUAACAAGAACAUCCCCCAACUCAUUAAAAUAUCCGCCGUGGUAUUUUCAAGGUGCCGUUCUCCACAGCAGAUGAACCUGACGCUCAGCGAGUAGGAAUUGGGAAGUAAAUUGUUCACUGAGAAGGAAGAAAAGUUUCUUUAAGUUCUUGUUAACUACCGAGUGACUGAGAUCAAGGAGAGGACAGAAGAGAGCUGCCUUGGAGAGCACAAAGGUGCAGCCACACGAUGCUGGUGAUGCUCUGUGUAACUUCAUGCUGUGUAUUUGUUCUUGCAGUGCCAACCCCGACCCGCUGAUGCUCCCCUCGUGCUCGUUUACCUUGCACGUAGAGGCUCUCUGCGCUGGAAUCACCCCCGGCUCCGGCGUCCCCCAUUGCCUGGGCCUCCCACGUCCCUGCUGCUGCUGGUGUUGGACUCGAAGAGUUCACUGCUACCAUCUGAGGGAAGGGAGCAGAGCAACAAACGCCCGUUGAAAUGCCGAUUGCCUUGGGGAGGUGAAACCCCUUGCCUUGGAAGGGGAAGGGAUCAGCAGGUACCACCCGCCUCCCACCUCGUUUCACACCACGCUGCCAACUGCCCAGAGCUGCAAGGUGCAGAGUGCUGACCUUCCCCACCCAGCACCAAAAAAACACCUUCCCCACCAAUUUACAUCGAAAGCUUCCUCAGGAAACUGCGAGGUGUGCAACUGGGAGCCUGAGCAGGACAGCACUGGUGGAGGAGACAGCCUGAGAAAGCUCCACGGCACCGCUGCAACAGCACCAGGGGUUGGGUGCAGCUGGCACGUCAGGCCCCAGCCUUCUGCACAGAAUAACAUUGGAAGCUGGGGUAGCAACCACAAAAAAAAUUAAAAAAAGGAGCAGUUUAUCAGCAAAAAUACAGCUGAGGACUUUGGCCAAGGGAAAUUCCAGUUUGUUUUGUAACCAAACCUCCUCAUAGGAGGGCUGAACACCCAGACCACAUGGUGCAAGUGGCCAGCUUUCUCAAAUUUCGCCCUAGUGCACGAUGUCUUCUCAGGUCUGACACUAAAGUGCUGGGCUCGGGCACUGCCAGGACCAGCGUUUCAUAAUUUUUCCAUACAGCUUUGAGAAAGGUGCCCAAAUGGGAGUACUGACGCUAGAGAAGAAGCUACAGUAAGUGGCUGGGGGAUGAGCUCUUGCCCUGCCUCAUCUCCGUGGCAGGGCAAUAAAUCACGCUGAGAUCCAGGCCUGCAAACCAGUAACUCGCUGCUGCUGACUUAUUUACUAGGUGACAACGCUCGGGAAGCCAGACAGGGCAGCAGGGAGAGCCUGCAGCUGCGUGAAGGCUGAAGGAUGUGCCGUUUUCCCAUCAAAUAACAACAGCAACGAGGACAAGGUGGCAGCAGCUCCCUUCCCACGCAGUAAAGGGGAUACAGGAGCAGCUUUCUCUGCGUGGAUACGAUCCCCAGCAGUGGAAAAAGGAACGUAGGCAGCUUAUCUCAAGCGCACCAGCCCUCAGCAGCACAAACCCUGCGGCUUCUCCUUUCCCACAGUGGGCUGGGAGCGGGAAUGGACACAGCAGGGUCUGCACCUCCCAUCGCAACCAGUAACCCCAGGGGAAUACUGGGGCAGGCUGCACGCCCAGCGCCGUGUCAGCACUGCCGCCUGCUGGAGGCACACUUGGACCAGCGCAGGGCUUUUUUGGGCAACUUUCUGCUGCUUGAAUCGUCCCAGCACGCUAAAAUCAAGUGAUGCCUUCCAAGGGGGGAUUUUUCCCCCUUCCUGCUAACUAGACACCAAGAGGGGGUCUGUGGGACGUUGUGGUGGAGGAAGCUGCUGUUCCAGCAGGAGCUUUGAGCACUGGGGAUGUAAAACAGGCCUUGAGGGCAAAAACACUCCCCUGGCGCUUCUGCCUCUGGUCUGUCAAGAAAAGUGGAUAUGAGCAGUGAGGGCUUCUGCUUGGUACAGCCUGAAUUACCUGUAUUCUGUGCUUGGGAGGUGGCAGAACUGCUGGGCUGUGUGCUCACCCUGCACUGUUUCAUUAACAAAAAUACCUGGUUUUGGCAGUUCACUUGGUUCAAAGAGCCAAACAAGCCGUGAGCAGCCUGCAUAGAGGCAGGAGGGCUGCUGGACCACCCAAACCUCCACCACAGGGGGAAGCCAACGAGCUCCCCGUUGCUGCAGGACCCAGCCACAGCCCAACCUCACACCUGAGGGGGGCACGGAGAGCCCCGAGGAAUCACAGCCACAUCCCACACCAGCCCCUCAGUGGCCGAAAACACCGGAUAGACCUCGGGAUGCUCCGAUUUCAGGUGCACGCCUGCCCCAGACAGCUCCAGACCAUCGCUGUUCAGUUUUAUCAGAGCCUGCCCUCCAGUUACACCACACCUCGUCUGCUCCCAGCCCACCUGGCAGACCCUUACCGAGGCGAGGCUGUGGGAGGAACUGGAAUGUUUGCUGGGCUCGAUGGACGAUAUCCCGCUGAGCGUGUCAUUGCUCUUGCUGCCGGGACUCUGGACUCUCUUGCUGGAGUACCCUGCGGGUGGGAAGGUCACACAAAAACAGGGUUUUAGCCGUGCUGGCCUCUGAAUGGAUGACAGAUGGAGACAGCAAGACCUGUUGGUUGUGAGGUCCCUGCAGGCUACAAAAAAAGUGUGGUCCAGGGCUUGGGGGCCUCUCCCUUUUCACAAGACCAACCUUUCUUCACGGACGAGACCCUUCUGGUCGGCAGGAUGGGCACCGUGAUGCCUCCGGGCUUGAAGCCACACUUGUCUGGAGCAAUCUGCUUCUUUCGACGCCGACGCCGUUUCAGCUGAUGAGCUGCAAGAGCCAACGCAACCGUCCCGAGAGCUGUCGCGAACAGCACCUUACGCAGGCCUGGGGAGAGCCGCAGCUGAGAGAAGACAGACUUUAAACACAAAAGAUAUGAAAGAGCAACAAUGAAGAACCAAUUCCGCCGCCCGUUUUCCUUCUAAGCAGUUGUAAAAAAAAAUUCAGACAGCCCUCGGAGAGAAAACCCAAGGAACCACCUAGGAAAGCCUUUCCUGCUCACUGUACCUGCCCAAACGUCGUGUAAACGAACACGGGGAUCUCUGCCACGGUCAUUGCCAAGGCCUGGAUGAUGGACAUGCCC
Anas platyrhynchos (mallard) is the source of this 6090-nucleotide non-coding RNA. The record is from RefSeq and is a predicted model, not a curated record. NCBI's taxonomy places the organism in Eukaryota, Metazoa, Chordata, Aves, Anseriformes, Anatidae.